This 407-nucleotide ribosomal RNA is filed under the name uncultured bacterium. RNAcentral describes it as "partial 16S ribosomal RNA". It matches the Rfam family "Bacterial small subunit ribosomal RNA", at positions 29 to 526 of the family's 1533-position model. The record is from RNAcentral.
AUUGAACGCUGGCGGCAGGCCUAACACAUGCAAGUCGAGCGGAGCGGCGGCCGGGUGAGUAAUGCCUAGGAAUCUGCCUGGGAGUGGGGGAUAAGGUUAGGAACCGGGCGCUAAUACCGCAUACUAUCACAUGAGCCUAGGCCGGAUUGGCAAGUUGGUGGGGGAAAGGGCUACCAAGGCGACGAUCCGGAACUGGGCUGAGAGGAUGAGCAGCCACACUGGAACUGAGACACGGUCCAGACUCCUACGGGGGGCAGCAGUGGGGAAUAUUGCACAAUGGGCGCAAGCCUGAUGCAGCCAUGCCGGGGGUAUGAAGAAGGCCUUCGGGUUGUAAAGUACUUUCAGCGGGGAGGCGUUACCCGCAGAAGAAGCACCGGCUAACUCCGUGCCAGCAGCCGCGGUAAUUC